Anoplophora glabripennis (Asian longhorned beetle) is the source of this 495-nucleotide long non-coding RNA. RefSeq lists it as uncharacterized. The record is from RefSeq and is a predicted model, not a curated record. The transcript has 3 exons. NCBI's taxonomy places the organism in Eukaryota, Metazoa, Arthropoda, Insecta, Coleoptera, Cerambycidae.
UUUUUGAGGUUAUUCAUAUUUUUGUUUGUAAAUUUCGUUUUUAUUGAACUUUAAAUAUGUCUUGUGCUUUGUACUGUGAAAGGAAGCGCAAAUUGCAGAAGAUGUCCAAUACAAAACAUUUCUAAAUAUUUAGCUUUCCUAGAAAUGAAACUUUACUGGACAAGGACAAGGUUCUUUCUAUCGAAAAAGAAAAUUGGGUAUGGACAAAAAAUAACGUAAUUUGCUCUGAACACUUUAAAGCGGAUGAUUUUCUCCCCUUUUGUGGAAGAAAAAUAGUACGACCCAACUCUGCACCUUCCAUAAAAUUAUUUUGUGGUGUAUCUUCUUCCAUUUUAAGCAAGAGUACUUUAUCGAGUUCAAUUAAUACAGGAGCUUUGACCAAAUUGAUGUUACAAUCAAGUGAAUCAUCUUUGACCUAUAACGUUACUGAAGUUCGAGUAGGUACAACGUAAAAAGAAGAGACAACUGAAUUUAAGUGUUCAGAAUACAUCGAAU